RNAcentral lists this ribosomal RNA (505 nucleotides) under uncultured Sphingobacteriales bacterium. Its description in RNAcentral is "bacterial SSU rRNA". It matches the Rfam family "Bacterial small subunit ribosomal RNA", at positions 375 to 877 of the family's 1533-position model. Lineage: Bacteria; Pseudomonadati; Bacteroidota; Sphingobacteriia; Sphingobacteriales. The record is from RNAcentral.
AGGCCACUCUGCCGCAGCCAUGCCGCGUGCAGGAAGAAGGCGCUAUGCGUUGUAAACUGCUUUUGAUCGGGAAGAAACCCCGGGACGUGUCCUGGKUCUGACGGUACCGACGGAAUAAGCACCGGCUAACUUCGUGCCAGCAGCCGCGGUAAUACGAAGGAUGCRAGCGUUAUCCGGAAUCAUUGGGUMUAAAGGGUGCGUAGGCGGCACCAAUURUUCAGCAGUGAAAGCCUGCUGACUCCCUGUAGAAUUGCCGUUGAUACUGUUGUUCUUGAGUACGUUUGACGUGGGCGGAAUGUGGCCGUGUAGCGGUGAAAUGCUUAGAUAUGGCACAGAACACCGAUAGSGAAGACASSUCACUAAGACGAAACUGACGCUGAGGCACGAAAGCGUGGGGAUCRAACAGGAUUAGAUACCCUGGUAGUCCACGCCGUAAACGAUGAUCACUCGUGGUUGGCGAUAUACGGUCAGUCACCUAGCGAAAGCGUUAAGUGAUCCACCUGGG